This 425-nucleotide ribosomal RNA is filed under the name uncultured bacterium. Its description in RNAcentral is "partial 16S ribosomal RNA". It matches the Rfam family "Bacterial small subunit ribosomal RNA", at positions 354 to 796 of the family's 1533-position model. The record is from RNAcentral.
GUGGGGAAUAUUGGACAAUGGGCGCAAGCCUGAUCCAGCAAUGCCGCGUGGGUGAAGAAGGUCUUCGGAUCGUAAAGCCCUUUCGACAGGGACGAUGAUGACGGUACCUGUAGAAGAAGCCCCGGCUAACUUCGUGCCAGCAGCCGCGGUAAUACGAAGGGGGCUAGCGUUACUCGGAAUUACUGGGCGUAAAGGGCGCGUAGGCGGAUCUGUUAGUCAGGCGUGAAAUUCCUGGGUUUAACCUGGGGACUUCGCUUGAUACUGCAGGGCUUGAGGACGAGAUAGGGUGGGGGAAUUCCCAGUGUAGAGGUGAAAUUCGUAGAUAUUGGGAAGAACACCGGUGGCGAAGGCGACCACCUGGCUCGGUUCUGACGCUGAGGCGCGACAGCGUGGGGAGCAAACAGGAUUAGAUACCCUGGUAGUCC